CUUUCCUGAGCCAGAAAGAGGACAGCUAAAAGAGUAUAUGAUAUCCUUUUUAUUCCCAUGCAGAUGUCUGAGGCUUCUUUUUCCUUUGGUCAAAUCUGAUUUUUAUUUCUUCUUAGUUAAUACCCCCAGAGCACUGCAGCCUUCUUUCUGCCUG
Tursiops truncatus (common bottlenose dolphin) is the source of this 154-nucleotide non-coding RNA. NCBI's taxonomy places the organism in Eukaryota, Metazoa, Chordata, Mammalia, Artiodactyla, Delphinidae. The record is from Rfam.